RNAcentral lists this transfer RNA (68 nucleotides) under Caenolestes fuliginosus (silky shrew opossum). RNAcentral's name for it is "transfer RNA-Pro". It matches the Rfam family "tRNA". Rfam says of the family: Transfer RNA (tRNA) molecules are approximately 80 nucleotides in length. Their secondary structure includes four short double-helical elements and three loops (D, anti-codon, and T loops). Lineage: Eukaryota; Metazoa; Chordata; Mammalia; Paucituberculata; Caenolestidae. The record is from RNAcentral.
CAAGAAGUAGUUUAAUUAGAAUAUCAGCUUUGGGUGCUGAUGGUAGGGUGAUCUAGCCUUCUUCUUGA